Molecule: ribosomal RNA, 830 nt
Filed under: Mycobacterium sp.
Lineage: Bacteria; Bacillati; Actinomycetota; Actinomycetes; Mycobacteriales; Mycobacteriaceae
Description: bacterial SSU rRNA
Rfam family: Bacterial small subunit ribosomal RNA
Source: RNAcentral
UGAGUAACACGUGGGCAAUCUGCCCUGCACUUCGGGAUAAGCCUGGGAAACUGGGUCUAAUACCGGAUAGGACCUUUAGACGCAUGUCUUUUGGUGGAAAGCUUUUGCGGUGUGGGAUGGGCCCGCGGCCUAUCAGCUUGUUGGUGGGGUGAUGGCCUACCAAGGCGACGACGGGUAGCCGGCCUGAGAGGGUGUCCGGCCACACUGGGACUGAGAUACGGCCCAGACUCCUACGGGAGGCAGCAGUGGGGAAUAUUGCACAAUGGGCGCAAGCCUGAUGCAGCGACGCCGCGUGGGGGAUGACGGCCUUCGGGUUGUAAACCUCUUUCACCAUCGACGAAGGUCCGGGUUUUCUCGGAUUGACGGUAGGUGGAGAAGAAGCACCGGCCAACUACGUGCCAGCAGCCGCGGUAAUACGUAGGGUGCGAGCGUUGUCCGGAAUUACUGGGCGUAAAGAGCUCGUAGGUGGUUUGUCGCGUUGUUCGUGAAAUCUCACGGCUUAACUGUGAGCGUGCGGGCGAUACGGGCAGACUAGAGUACUGCAGGGGAGACUGGAAUUCCUGGUGUAGCGGUGGAAUGCGCAGAUAUCAGGAGGAACACCGGUGGCGAAGGCGGGUCUCUGGGCAGUAACUGACGCUGAGGAGCGAAAGCGUGGGGGAGCGAACAGGAUUAGAUACCCUGGUAGUCCACGCCCGUAAACGGUGGGUACUAAGGUGUGGGGUUUCCUUCCUUGGGAUCCGUGCCGUAGCUAACGCAUUUAAGUACCCCCGCCUGGGGGAGUACGGCCGCAAGGCUAAAACUCAAAGGAAUUUGACGGGGGGCCCGCACAA